Marmota flaviventris (yellow-bellied marmot) is the source of this 764-nucleotide long non-coding RNA. RefSeq lists it as uncharacterized. The record is from RefSeq and is a predicted model, not a curated record. Lineage: Eukaryota; Metazoa; Chordata; Mammalia; Rodentia; Sciuridae.
GAAAGAGAGGAGUUAUUACCGAGACUCUACAGCGGGUCGUUGGCUGCAACUGUAGUGUAGAGUAAGGCUAGCUUCUGGUAACCGGCGAGAGGAGUGACCCUGGCGUCCUAUCAGGAAGAAAAGGAGAAAAAUCAGUUUUCACAUAUGCAACGCGCAUAUGGGCCUGUAGAAACUCAGGUAGUGACUCCUGCGUGAACAGCAGUACCUGUUGGACUAAUUUUAAGCACUCAGAUGGUCUUGCUAAACUGCUGAGGCUGGCCUUGAACUUGCAAUCCUUCUGCCUUACUCUCCUGAGCCACUGGAAUUACAGGCAUACACCAUUGCAAUCCAGCUCCCACUUAAGUAUUCCAAAGUAGAUUUACCAGCAGGUUGCAAGUGUACAUGGCCAUGAGGUAAACCCUGCCCCUUGUUGAAAUUUAGUUUCAGCUGAUUGUUCAGUAGUAUUUUAAGGAAUUGAGUCUUAGGAAAAGCAAAAGUUUUGUUUGACUUUAUUCUUGAAUGUUUGGUUUUUUCUUCUUCUAGAAGAUGAAAUGAUACUUAAACAAAAGUUCUUUUCUUCUUCCUUUGUGUGUGUGUGUGGGGGGGGGGGGCAGUUACUGGAACCUAGGGCCUUGGAUAUGAUAGGCAAAUGCUCUACCACUGAGCCACAUACUUAGCCCUUAAAUAAGUGAUCUUUAUGCUGAAUAAUUGUGAUAAUUGAAAUUGUUCAUAUUUCUUGUUUAAGCGGUUUUUAAAAGUCAAAGAUAAUUCUAGACAGUUUUUUU